GAGUUUGAUCGUGGCUCAGAUUGAACGCUGGCGGCAUGCCUUACACAUGCAAGUCGAACGGCAGCAUGAUCUAGCUUGCUAGAUUGAUGGCGAGUGGCGAACGGGUGAGUAAUACAUCGGAACGUGCCCUGUAGUGGGGGAUAACUAGUCGAAAGAUUAGCUAAUACCGCAUACGACCUGAGGGUGAAAGUGGGGGACCGCAAGGCCUCAUGCUAUAGGAGCGGCCGAUGUCUGAUUAGCUAGUUGGUGGGGUAAAGGCCCACCAAGGCGACGAUCAGUAGCUGGUCUGAGAGGGCGAUCAGCCACACUGGGACUGAGACACGGCCCAGACUCCUACGGGAGGCAGCGAGUGGGGAAUUUUGGACAAUGGGCGAAAGCCUGAUCCAGCAAUGCCGCGUGUGUG
This 403-nucleotide ribosomal RNA is filed under the name uncultured microorganism. RNAcentral describes it as "bacterial SSU rRNA". It matches the Rfam family "Bacterial small subunit ribosomal RNA", at positions 9 to 407 of the family's 1533-position model. The record is from RNAcentral.